AACCACCAACUGCUUCCCAACAUUGCGACCGGAGUAAAGCCCUAUAAGAGCAGCCGGAGCACUUUCCAGGCCUUCCGCUAUAUCUUCCACAUAAGUUAUCUUCCCUUCUUUUAUCAGUGGAAGCACCAUCUCCAAAAAUUUUGGAUAGAGGUGGUAGUAAUCAAAAACAAGAAAUCCUUCCAUGCGAAUACGUUUAUUUACAGUGCAGAAUAAGUUGUGUACACCUUCUGGCUGCUCGAGAUUGUACUGUGAGAUCAUUCCACAAACAGCUAUACGACCCUUGUUAUUCAUGUUGAGAAGCACGGCAUCAAGCAUCUUUCCUCCAACAUUCUCGAAGUAAAUAUCGAUUCCAUUAGGGAAAUAUCUAUCAAAAUAACAAUUGUACUAUGAAUUUCGCAUAGUUCAGAAAAGCAACCAUGCAAGCAUUUUAAAUAUUUGCAGCUAUAGGACGGACGGGGCAUUAACACUGAAGGGGAAAUAAACAAAUCACAAACUCAAUUCUCGUCAUGAAGCUGGACUUAUUAACAUAUAAAACCCCACAUAGUGCAACCACCGUUCAUCUCUGGAAGAAGAGAAGUUGGAACUCACCUUUUUAAAGCUGAAGUUAAAUCCUGCUCUUCUUUAUAGUUGAAUGCAUCAUCAAAACCAAAUUUGGUCUUCAACAGAUCAACCUUGAACAACAAUGGACAAAGUAAGUAUAUAGUGGAAAUGCUUUUGAUAUUCAGAGAUAUACCAUAUAAACUCUUGCUACCCAAGAAAUAUACAUCAUCAAAUGUCAAAAGAACAUUAGAACCCGUCUGAUUCAGCUAAAAAAUUGAUUAAGAUAUAAGUCAAAAUCACUACUAAUUUUAGUCACACAUUUCAUGAGACCCACAACUUUUCAACCACACAUUCGAUCAACUUUUAUUAAAAUCUACUAGAAAUCUAAUUUUUAUCUAAACCAAACAGGGGAUAGCAUGGAAGGAUUCCAUAUCUCAAGCUUGUCCACUAGCUUCUCUGUUGAUAGAACAACUUGUCAGUAUCCCAAAGAUCAAACUCAAACUUCUUUCUAGCUUUCGGCAGAAACUUAAACUUAGAUGUUACAUAAGCCAAAAUAACUUGAUCAGUGUUAAAAUCAGCAAAAGACAAGCUGUUUAUAUCUACACACGCCCAUCAGCAUUAAUUUUUUUCAUUAACCUUAUCUUUGCUUCCGGCACUUCCAACAACGUAGCAUCCAAGCAACUUCGCAAAUUGCCCAACAAGCUGACCAACCGCUCCAGAUGCAGCAGAAACGAAGAGAGUUUCACCCUUUUUGGGAGAGCAAACCUCAUAAAAACCAGUAUAAGCAGUCAUGCCAGGCAUACCUAAGAAGAAAUAUAUGGUAAAUUAGUCAAGCAGUUAACAACUGUAAAAGAAAAAAGUCCACAAAAGUUUGGUACAAUAAAGAUUAAGAAUUUCACAUUGGUACAAUAAAGAUUAAGAAUUUCACAUUGGUACAAUAAAGAUUAAGAAUUUCACAUUGGUACAAUAAAGAUUAAGAAUUUCACAUUGGUACAAUAAAGAUUAAGAAUUUCACAUUGGUUCAAUAAAGAUUAAGAAUUUCACAUUCUCUUAAAUAUUCUUAAUCACCCGCAACAAUGAUGCAACACUGUAAUAAUUUACCAUUGUCUGUCCUUGAUUGUAAAAGAUAGACCCAGAAAUAUGAUAUUAUUACGUCACUGUGUCACCAAACUAGAAUACUGGCCAUAUCCAGUAUGUUGCUAUAUUUGGCUUGCUAAAGGGCACGAUCAAAUUAUUCAGUGUCACCAAACUAAAAUACUGGCCAUAUCCAGCCUGAUGCUAUAUUUGUCUUGCUAAAGGGCAUGAUCAAAUUAUCAAUGUGCAAGUGCUCGAAGUUAGCCGAUUUUGACAGUUUUGAGUAGACAAAGAUCAUGUCGAAUGCUCACAGUGCUAGAGUUACAAGAGCAAGAGAGAGGGAAAACUGAAAAAGAGAAAGAAAGAGGCAGAAAAUAGAGGAAGGAUUCUUUGAUUUUGUUCAAUAAUGUUGUGUGUAAUACAAAGAAUGACCCCUCUUUAUUUAGUGCUUAAUUAACCUAAAUAAGGUAACAAAAACUAGGGCUUAUAACACUCAAUUAAGGCAACCUGAUGUUGCAUCAUCAAAGUAAUCCAGACAGCUGUAUAUUUGGGGUCGAAAUGUCGUAAAACCAUAAAACCCAAAACGUUGCAAGAUUCUACAUUCACCAUUGACGCGGAAAAAUAUUCACGCUUUGCACAUAUGGGAGCAAAGUACUCAAAAGCUCAUUCAUAUUUAUCAUGACAAAACAAAAAUUUAGAGAGUUUUAAAUGAAUACAGAAUUAUAUUCAGAUGCAGGGGAAUAUAAUGAUGGUGAAAUUGAAAACAGAUAUCAUGUGGAUGAUUCCUCACAAUAAAGAAAUCCAAUGUGUCAAACAGUGGCAAUUAACUGUUACUAUAAUUUGAAGGGUAAAUAUGUACUUCAGAAUUGAGAAGUUAGAAUGAUCAUCUUAUUUUCUUAAUGUCUGGAAAAACACAAUGUAGGUUGUGACAAAACAAAUAUAUAUAUUUUACCCCGGAGAAAACUAAAACCUGAAAUAAAGUUAAUUAAUCACUGUCCUCGACACCAGAUAAUUUUUCCAAAUAGAAAUCAAUGUACGACCAUAUCUGCCAUCAAGAACAGGAUUAAUGUAUAUGCCCGCAAGUAACAGGCUCAACGUAUCAGGCAAUUUAUCACCACUGUAGCAAAUAUUUUUCGAUCAUCAUUCGGCUUAUUAUCCUUCUAUGCUAUCCAGGAGACCAGUAAUUCUUUUCGCACUUGCACAAGAACUCAAAAUAGGAAAAAAGAGCUCAACGUAUCAAGUAAACCCAUUUAUGUUUGCACCAAAAACAGAACACCUUUAUUCAGUUAUUAUGCAAUUUUUAAGACAGUAACUUACCAAGAAUACCCGUAUAGUAGGAGAGAGGCACAUCUGUGUGCUGAAUUUUAAUUAAAGUCUCUGGUUCUUUAAUAAGACUGUAUUCUUCCCAGCCAGUCCUUCCCCAAACCAGGUCGCCCACCUUGAAGUUGAGAUGAGCGGAGUCUACAACUUUGGACACUCCAUAUCCAACAAUAGGCUAGAUAAUACAUAAACGGAGAAGCUCAAGAAAAACAUAAAAUAAUCAAACAGAUUGAGGUAACUGAAAUAGUAGAUAGCUGACAUCAGUAGGGGAGACAGGUUUAUCCUUCGGGUAAGGUAACUGAUCAUAAAUCCAGCAAUGCCAUCUUUCUUGCUAUCUGUGAAUGGUUUUAAGUGAUCAUGAUGGAUUUUUAAUAAUAGUUAAACAAAUUCAGCAAAUAAAGUUGCUUCCUACAUAAAUUGUAGAAGGAAUUCAAGAGGUGGUCUUUUACGAAACAUUACUUUUCCCCAAAUCAUGUGUCUUGAGAGAAUUACAUCAAUACAAAAGUCACAAAUAUAUUGAAUUUAUGAUGUAGAGAAUCUACGGCCAAGUGGAUUUAGGAACAGUUGGACCAAAAAGGAAGAAACAAUAAUUGCAGAUUUGGCAUGUGAGCUCUGAUUUGGGCCCGUAAUACCUCUUCGGAAAGGGCACGAUGAGCCCAUUUAGAACUCGAAAACUGCUUCUUCUUUUUUUAAGUUUUAAUGCUAUUUUUGUUAUUUAGUUUAUUUCGAAUUCUUUUCAAUUUUAGGGCUUUUAAACUAUAUUUUCAUGCAAAUUCUUAUAAAUAUAGAGUUAAUUCUUCGUUUUUAGGAAGUUUUGAAUUAAUAAAACAUCUUGAAUUUAUAUUUCAUUCUCCAGGUGGAUUCCAGAUUUUUGUUCUUGAGAUUUUCGCUUCACGCUGCAUCAAUUUAAUAUACUUUGGUGAUGAAUGAGCAGACAAUGCCACUUACAUUUCCAAUAUUAUUGCACUAUUAUCUUGCUUGGGAAAAAAACCCUACUUAACUCUUGCCCCUAAAUCCUAGCACAAUCGUUCAAUCACAAUGUGCAAAGAUCACUCCGGAGACUGUUUUAGAACAACAAACCCAUUUUCCAGAACGAACUAAUACAUCAAACAAAAUUGGGGAUGAAAAUUGAGGGAGCGUGAAAAUGAAUGACUUACAGUGCCAGGAGUAUAGGGCUCAAUGUAACUCCCCUCAGUUUUCUGCAUGCGAUUGCGCAUGUAAGGAUCACAAGACAAAUAGAGAUUCUUCACCAAAAUUGCGUUGGGAGAAUCCGCCGGAACCUUGAGUUUGAUGCUUGAAGUUUUCAAUGACAUGUCUGAUUCUUUUGGGAAACCUUUAAUGUAAUCAUUGAGUAUGAUUUGCCUGUUGCCAACUUCCUCAGAUCCCAUUGCUGCUUGCUUGGAUUAUGAAUGUGAACUGUGAAGCGAAGGGCGGAAGGAUCGAGAUGACCUGCGUGAACCACAAUUUGUAGGACUUUCUGGUUCAUUAGGAUAUUACGUACGUUUUUUUCUUUUUUCACACACCACACAUUAUGUGGACUGAGCUGCCAAUUGUCGUCACCACACGUAUUAUUAAAGAGUAAAUUGCACAGGAUAUCACUAACGUUUUUAAAAACGUACAAAUUAGUCGUCCACCUUGAAAUCAUUGCAAUGCCAUCCUCAGCAGGUAUAAAUACGAUUAAACAAGCAUGUGCGCGUUUUUGUGAAGGUCAAGGAUCUGUGCAGCAUUUUUCCCUAUUAUUAAUGUAAAAGAAAUAAGAAAAUGUGCAAAUAAUUUAAGCCGUAGUCAUUAUUAGCUAAAAACAAUAUUUUGAAUUUUGAAUUUUGAAUUUUUGAAAAAUAUGUGAUUAAAAGUAGAAAAAAGUUUUAGAUUUAAAUAUAGAAUAUUUAUUGUAUAAAUGUGUUAUUGAAAAUGAGUAUAUAAAAUAAUGAAUUUUGAAAUAAUGGUUGUCAAACAGGAAUUUAAUAGCAUCAUUGAAAUAUUCAAUGUUUUCUUUGCAUGUAAAAUUAAUGCAAAUCAGGAAUGAAAAAGCCUAAUAAGCUAUUUACAAAUUUCAUAUACUAGGGGCUUUUGCUCAUGCUUUGAUUUUCUAUAGAAGAGUUUCUUCGACAUUUUUAAAGACUAUUUAACGAGACGAAUCAUAUCAAUUCAUUGAUGUAUAUCAAAUUUAAUUCAAAUGUUGAAUCCACUAUAAGUUUACUCACAAAUAAAUUUAUAUGUCAUGUCACAAAUGAUUACAUAAGAUAAACUUCCAGGUUCAUUAUAUCGUUUCUCUAUCACUAACGCUCAUUUUAUUGUAAACAUCGAUAACAUGUCAUACAAAUUAUUGAUGGAUAGCAACUUUGAUCAAAUGUUGAGAGCCAUAAAUUUAUCGAUCAAUAAAUUGAUAUAUCAUGUUAUUGGUGUUAGUAUAAGAUAAGCACAGUAUAAAAUAAGCAUUGGUGCUCAUUAUAUCAUUCCUCAUCUACAAUUUAUUAAAAGUGAGGAUGGUGGAGAAAUUUUUAAAUACCAAAUUUACACCUACAUAUUUAAUUAUAUGCCCACUAUACCCUCAUAAUUGGAAUGCCAAUUUAAUUAGUAUUUAUCAUUUGGUUUACAAUUAAUAUAAUAUAAGAAGUGAAAUAUUAUUUGAUAUUUAUCAUUUUGGAUUGGAAUUAAUAUAAGAGGUGAAACAGACAUUCAAUUAUUUUAAAAAGAAUAAAAAAUAAAAAUCAAUGACUUAUCAUUCAAUUGACCAUUUUGUUCUCACAAUUUUUAUUUUUCGUCAACAAAAUCCUCAAUAAUUUUCAAGAUUUACAUUAUAGUUUAUGCAAUGAGUUUUUAUUUUUUAUCAACAAAGCAAAUUUUAAUCUUAAUGCUUUACAUUAUAAUUCAUUCAUUACGUUAUUAUUUAAUUGAGGUUACAAAUAUUUUAAAUGUUGUAUUAAUAUAUUAAUGAGGACAUUCAUGAAUAAAAAAGAAAUUACCCACGGAAAUUCAAUGACUAACAUUCAAUUGUUUUUUUUUUCCUUUAUAAUUUUUUAUUUUCAUCAACAAAGCCCUUAUUAACCAAUUUAAUUAAUAUUUAUCAUUUGAUUUAGAAUUAGUAGAAGUGGAGAAAUAUUUAAUUUAUAUUUAUCAUUUGUGUUGGAAUUAGUAUAAGGAGUGAAAUUGACAUGUAAUUAUUAAAAAAUAAUAAUAAAUCAACGAAAAUUUAGUGACUUUUCGUUCAAUUGAAUAUUUUAUUCUUACAAUUUUUAUUUUUCAUCAACAAAGCAUAUUUUUAUUUUUCAUCAACAAAAUCUCAUUAAUUUUCAUGAUUUACAUUAUAAUUCAUCUAUUCUGUUUUUAUUUUUCAUUAACAAAGCAAUUUUUGUUUUUCAUCAACAAAGCGCAUAGUAAUCUUCAUGAUUUACAUUAUAAUACAUCCAUUAGGUUAUUAUUUAAUUGAGGUUACAAAUUUGAAAGGUUGCAUAUAUAUAUAUAUAUAUAUCAAAGCCCUUAUUAAUCUUCAUAAUUUACAAUAUAAUUUAUGCAUUAAGUUAUUACUUAAUUGAGGUUGCAAAAUUAAAAGGUUGCAUUAAUAUAUCCCAUUACCUCCAGCAAAUAAUAAAAGAUUUCCAUUCAAAUUCAAGGAAAACAAUUUCCAAUACGUCUAUACUUUGUAAUAACAAUUAAUAAGGCUCAAGGACAAACAUUGCCUACUAUUGGAAUAUAUCUUCUUAAACAUGUAGUCUCUCAUGGACAACUAUAUGUCGCACUUUCUCGUGGAGUUUCAAUGAAAACAAUAAAAUUUUUAGUAAAAGCAAAAGAUAAAAAGAAGAAAAGAUGUAGGACGUUGACAAAAAAAUCUCGUGUACAAAGAAAUAAUGUUGUAAUCACAUCAUCACAUUUUAGUUUAUUCAACAUUUUCAAAUUAUAUACAUAAUUUCAUAAAAGCAUAUAUAUAUAUAUAUAUAUAUAUAUAUAUAUAUAUAUAUAUAUACUCAAUUGUAAUUUUUCCUUUAACAAUAUAAAUUACCUCCAUUAUUUUAAAAAAUGGUAUUAGUAAUUCAAAAAUAAUACGUAUAUCAUUCAUCAAUAGGUAAGACAUGCAACGCACGUGCUUACUACUAGUAUUAUAAUAAGUAACGAUGCUUAUCGUAUUCUGAACAUAGAUAAUGUAUUGCAUCAAUUAAUUGAUAAAAAGCAAAUUUACUUAAAAAAUUCAGACCUUCCAUAAAUUUAUUCAUUAAUAAAUUUAUAUAACAUGUCACAGAUGCUUAACAUAAACCCAAGACCUCUCUUGAAUAGGAAGGGGCUCUAAUAGCCCUCUGAGUUGUUUUUGCUCAAUAGUCGUCUUGAUGCUACUAUUGAAAUAGCCUUUCUAGCUAUAUUACUAAGGAAUUCUGAAACCCGGCAGCGAGGGAAGGGGGGAAAUACUUAACACUGGAAUUCGGUCUAUCAAAACAUCUAUGCUCAUUAAAUUAUUCUUCCUCUUGUAUCAUUAAUACAUGGCAUAUGUCAUUCUUCAAUCACUAUUAAAAAGGGAGGCAACAUAGAUGAAAUUUUAGCAAUGAACGUAUUCUGUUACUAAUACGAAGGAUUGACAACAAAUUAGCAAAAGAUGAUUCCGUUGGAAACUAUAUAAAAAGAUAAAUAAUUACCAACGAAAAAGACUUUUGGUAAACAUUUUAAUUAAAAAUAAAAAUUCAUUAAAUAACUACCAACUAGGAAAAAAAAAUCCGUCUGAAAAUUUUUGAUUAAAAAACAUUUCCUAUCAAAAAAUCCAUUAAUAAUUUUAAGUAUAAGUAUCAAUUAAUAAUUAUAAACGGAAUAGUAGGUAAUGUUUUAAAAAUUAUAUAUAGUGUUUAUCAAGCUUUUUUAUAAAGUAUGAAAUAAAUCAUUUUGUUGACAAGAAAAUUGUGAAAGACAUGAAAAAUAAUAAUAAUAAUAAUAAUAAUAUAGUAUGUUCUGAAAAGAAAAAUAGUUAAUUUUCUGAACGCAUACAAUUUUUAUUCAUAAUAAAAUUUUAUUUUGUAAAAAUAAAUAUAAAUUUCAUUUUUAUGUUCAAAAAAAUUUAAAUUUUGGAACAAAUGAAGCAAAAAUUAUAGAAAAAAUAUGAUAUUGGUGAAUAAUAACAUUUUUCUCAAAACAAUUUUUGAAAAAUAUUUUUUGUUUCUUAAUUUGAUCAUAUACUUCGUACAUAUCGCAGUAAUUGAGUAAAAAUGGGGGAAGAACUAUUACAGGAAGCCUAAACUGUCAAAUAUGAUGAGAAAAUACGAAAUUGGGAGAAUGAAUAUAUUAUAGUCCGAAAAAAAUUUAUUUGAUAGCCACAAAAUUAAAUAAUCUUCAUUGGUUGAUUAUAUAUCGGUUAAAAAAUAAAUAACUCAUUAUGUAGGCCAUCAAGUGAUUUGGUUUGGAGUUUUGAGAAUUGGAGUAGUUGGAUUUUCUUAAUAAUUUAAAGAUAUUUAACAAAGUAAUUAAAAAUAAUAAAAUUGUGAAAUGGAAAAAAAACAAAAAACAAAAAAUUGGUUGAUAUUUAAGAAAAAAAAAAUGCUUAUCCAUGUAAGAUCCUAAGUUAUUUUGAGCAAUAUGACUGAUGACCAAUUGAUUUCUAGUUGUGAAUAUUAUUGAUUGAUGGAGAGAAUUUUGAAUUAGUAGAACUAUGCUGUGAGCUUUGUGGAAAUUUCUAUUUAUCUAUGUUCUCUAUGACUUAACCUUAUGGUGAGAUAAAUUUGGAAGUAGUUGAGCCGAAAAAAGAGAUUAUCUAUAAAUGUGUUGAUUCCGUGUAUGUUAAGUAUAUAUUGUAUGGAUUGUAUUUGAUUAGUAAGUAUAAAUUAGGUAAUAACCAUAUGCUAGAGAUCUAAGCUCUACAUAUAAUAUUUUCUUGCUAAAAAAGAAAAAGAAUAUUGCACUUGUUAAAUCUUAUACCUCACUCCGUAGCCUUUUAUAAGUCCAUAGGGGUAUCUCGAAACUCAGUACCAUUUGGUCUUUUAGAAAAAUCAAGGAAGUAUUGAGCUAAAGCUAUAAUCGCAAAUCUUGCAAGAUAUCAUGCAUUUAUAAUUGAAUUUGAGGACUUAGAUAACUAAUUAGUUUGAAUUGCUUAGUAUAAGCUUAAAUGUUGAACCACGCAACUUAUCAUGUCUGGAUUGUUGACAUUGUUAGUGUGACCCAACCAGAUUGGAGCUACAAAAAAUGAUUGAUUUGAAAGCAACCUAUAGAUUAAUACCCCGGGAAAGAAAAGAAGUAUGUAUUUGAGGAUUUGAAUUUCACGAGUUAGAAAGGAAAGAAAUGACCAUUAAGGGUUGGUUUGAAACCAAUUUGAAAAUUUUCCUACUCUACAACUUUUUUCGAGUUUAGAUGAUGAUUGAAAGUGAUACCGAUCAAAUAUCGAAUAAUCUCAAAUUAUUUAUGGUAGCAUUAUUCUAACAUUGCAAAUUUUUGUCAUGUUCUAUUUGAAUUGUUAGUAGAUAAUCUUACUUGGGACGCCAUGUGCAUGGCAUAAAACAAGAACAAGGAUGACUUGUGUGGAGCUCAUCUCAUUAGCAACAUGUAAGUCGUGGCAUCUAUGACAAAUGGAUGUAAAAAGUUCCUUUUUUCUACACCGUUCACUUUCCUUCAAUCUUCCCUGCAUUCACACCAAAUAAAUGAAAUUUCACAUUCAAUCAAACAAACCAACCACUCAUUCCAUAUUCCAAGCCAAACCCAAAGUCUCCAGCAUCGAUGUUGCCAUGUGUGUGCAUAAUUUCCGCCCCUUUAAUGGGGUUUUUUUUUUUUUUUAGGGCAUCUUGGGAAAUGUCUUGGAUACGUUUUUGAGGGUUUCUAAUGACCCAAAACAUAGCCCAUUUAUCUAUUGUUCAUUCAGUAGAUUGAAGGCCAGAAAUAGGGCACAAGGAGACAAGAAGGGAAGGAGAAAAAUAAGGAAAAAUGGAGAGAUUUCGGGGAAAAAUCAUGAUCAAGCUAAUCUUCAUUUCAAGAGUCCAAUUAUGGGAUGGAUUCUAUAUUUUGCCUUGUAUUUUAUCCUUUAUAUUAUCUAACUUGUAAUGUAUUUCUCUUAACCCUCCUCUUUUAUAUCAUUUAUAAACAAUAAAUUAAGUUCUUUAUGUUGGGAUGGUUGAUGCAGCUUUACUAUAGUGUUAAAUUACUUAUUUUCACAUGUAUUUAAUAUUGUAUUUAAGAAUUUUUAUUUAUUUGGCCGUUAAAUUAUUUUGUAGAGUGAUUUGUGUAUUCUUUGAGAUAAUAUUGUGCAUUUUAGAUCAAAUAAUAAAUACAAUAGGUAUUCGUAGGAGAUGGAAAUAUACUCCUAACCUUAGGAGAUAGCUGGUUAAACUAAUUGAUUUUAUGACUAAUUUCGCUCGAGAGGGGUAAUUAGUUUAAAAAAAAAGGGGGGUCUAACAUACGAAAUGAGUCAUUUGGUUUUUGGCUUGUUGAGAAAUUAAUUAGACAAUGGUUAAGUGAAAUCAUGAAUCCCAGCUACUUUAUCUUCCCAACUUUCCUUAAUUUUUAAUUCAUUCUUUUUUGUUAUUUUCAAAUUCAGAUUUUAAAGUGUUUUUUUUUUUUUUUUGGUGUUAAAAUUAAGUUUAACUACUGCGUAAUUAAGCAAUUAUUUCUCAUUGGAUCGACGAUUUAGAUUCAUUAAUCUACUUUAUUACUUGUAUGUAACCAUGCACUUGUGGUACAUAUUUUUUAGUGAACAUUAUAAAAAGCAUUUUAUUGAAGGGAAGGGGAAUAUCGUAAAGUAAUUAAGUUUAAUAAUGUUUGAAACGAUCACAACGGCCAACAGAAAGAGAGAAAUGAUUUAGCCUUUGGGCCAAGAAUAAGAAUAAAUUAGUACAGGCAGAUCUAAAAGUGUCAAUUUAGCUCGUUGGUUCGGGUGGCCCGUGGCUCAAUCAGUGAAAAGUUCAAGCCGACCCGACUUGCAUCGAGAUGUAAUUUGGAGCAUUGGCUCGAGCCCAAGCUAGAUGAGCCAAUAAUAAUCAAAUUUAAUAUGUUACAAAUUUCAAUGUUCCUCUUCUUGAAUUAUUCAAAUUACAUUGGAAUUCACUAUCUAUUGACAUCCAAAAUAGAUAUAUUAACUAAAAUAAGGAAAAAAAAAAUUGUUUCUGGAAAAAAAAUCAAAUAAAGAGAAAAAAAAAAAAAAGAGAGUUUAUUUAGGUGUCUCAAAACUUUCACUAUUUAAAUUUAAAUAUGUUUUUUAUUAUGUACAAGUUGCUCUUUAAGUUUAAAGAGCAUCUUAGAGAUACUACUUUUCUCUCUCUCUCUCUCUCUCCUACAGCCAAUUUUUCUAUAUUAAUCCCUCCGUCCUAUUUUUUUAGAUUGAAUUUCCUUAUUUUCUUGUCCCAAUUAUAUAGUAUUUUUUGUUUAUUGAGUAUGUUUUAUUUCUUUUACUAAUAUACCAUAAUUACUGCAUAAUUAUAAUUAAUUUUUUUUCCACUUAAUCUUGAAAUUGUGAAACUAUAAAUAAGGGUAGGCUAGGAAGUUUAUUUGGCAAAAAUUACUUUUUCAAUAAUGUUAAAUAAGAUUUCUUAGUCUAUAUAAAAAAUAAAAUCAGCCUAUAUAAACUAAUUGAUUUCGCUCGAGAGGGGUAAUUAGUUUAAAAAAGAAAAAAAGAAAAAAAAAGGUCUAACAUACGAAAUGAGUCAAUUUGGUUUUUGUCUUGUUGAGAAAUUAAUUAGACAAUGGUCAAGUGAAAUCAUAAAUCCCAACUACUUUAUCAUCCCAACUUUCCUUAAUUUUUAGAUUCGUUCUUUUUUGUUAUUUUCAAAAUUCAGAUUUUCACUUUUUUUUUUUUGUUAAAAUUAAGUUUAACUACUGCGUAAUUAAGCAAUUAUUUCUCAUUGGAUCGACGAUUUAGAUUCACUAGUCUACUUUAUUACUUGUAUGUAACCAUGCACUUGUGGUACAUAUUUUUUAGCGAACAUUAUAAAAAGCAUUUUAUUGAAGGGAAGGGAAAAAAGUGUCAAUUUCGCUCGUCGGUUCGGGUGGCCCGUGGCUCAACUAGGGAAAAGUUCGAGCCGGCCCGACUUGCAUCGAGACGUAAUUUGGAGCAUUGGCUCGAGCCCAAGCUAGAUGACCCAACGGGCCAACUCGUGUCAUUUGCAAUUUUCGGCUCGUAAAAAAUUGAGCCUUCAAAAAAUUAAAAAUUAAAAGCUCUGCAAGCAACUACCUGUAUCAGGCAUUACAUGCUGCCUUUGCAGGCUGCAAGCUUGUUGCUUGCGUUAGGUAGCUACUUGCUGCCUCCCUACUUAGAAAAAUAAUCGUGAGCCGACUUGGCCCAAUAAAGCCCCGAACCAAAAGCUCAAGUCCAACCUAGAUUUUUUUUGGCUAAGCAAAACUUCGGUUUAAAUAAAAAAAAUCUCGAACCAUUUUUACUCGAGUGGAGCCCGAACCUCGAGUUUCGGUUCGCGAGCCAGCUCGACUCUGUUUAUUGACAUUCCUAAGCUGAUCUUGACUUUAUUUUUACUUGUUUUUUUUAAAAAGAUAUAUAUAUAUAUAUAUAUAUAUAUAUAUAUUUUUUAUUUAUUUAUUUUUUUUUUUUAAAAGUGGGUUUGACUCUCCAAAUUUUGAGAGCCAAACUCAAACUCAAUUUGCACUUUAUAAUAAUUAAAUUUAAUAUGUUACAAAUUUCAAUAUUCAUCUUCUUGAAUUAUUCAAAUUACAUUGGAAUUCACUAUCUAUUGACAUCCAAAAUAGAUAUAUUAACUAAAAUAAGGAAAAAAUAAAUUGUUUCUGGAAAAAAAAUCAAAUAAAGAGGAAAAAAAAAGAGUUUAUUUAGGUGUCUCAAAACUUUCACUAUUUAAAUAUAAAUAUGUUUUUUAUUAUGUACAAGUUGCUCUUUAAGUUUAAAGAGCAUCUUAGAUAUACUACUUUUCUCUCUCUCUCUCUUCUAAAUCCAAUUUUUCUGUAUUAAUCCCUCCAUCCUAUUUAUUUAGAUUGAAUUUCCUUACUUUUUUGUCCCAAUUAUAUAGUAUUUUUUGUUUAUUGAGUAUGUUUUGUUUUAUUCUUUUACUAAUACACGAUAAUUACUGCAUAAUUAUAAUUAAUUUUUUUCCACUUAACCUUGAAAUUGUGAAAAUAUAAAUAAGGAUAGACUAGGAAGUUUAUUUGGCAAAAAUUACUUUUUCAAUAAUGUUAAAUAAGAUUUCUUAGUCUAUAUAAAAAAUAAAAUUAGCCUAUAUAAAUGGGAUGGAGGGAGUACUAUUUUUUUAUAGUUGACUUAAUUGUUGGAAUAUCAAUGGUGAACUGUCAUUUUUUUUUCUUUUUUUUGGAACAAUGAACUUAGUAUCUAAUGAAUUGUUCAAGUAUGUAGGUAAUAUACGAAUGAAUAGGUAAGAAUGCAACAAUAGAUCUAAUGGUAGCAAGGUUUACAGAUUUUUGAAUUCACCAAAUUGGUGUUAUCUGUAGGUACUAAAUACUGCAAACCACGGGUGAAACGGUGAUACCUCGGUCAGAAGGAAAGAAAGUUCCUUGAGAAAUAUACUUGAAUCAACCAUAAUGGUGUCACCAGUUCCAAUGUUAUCGGAGAUAGUUCCUACCAUUGUAGAAUUAUUUUGAUAGCAUGGGUCCGCUAAGCAUUACUCACUAUAGAAGAAUGAAAAAUUGCGUAAGCAAUAAUAGUAGUAACAACGAACGCAGACACUGAUAUUCUGGUACAGUAAGAUAAAACCAAGGACUAUCGGGAACUAGCCACAGUUGAAGAAAGAGUUCACCAAUGCUUGUACCGGUCAUCACUCCUGCCUAGUCUCAAAGAGCCGUAACUACAAUAUGAGGUAGGAGCCACAUGAGUCUUUCAAGAGAGAAUUUUCAGGGGUUCCGCAUUUAGUUGGUUAACAUCGAGAAUGUGCUCGAUGCAAAGGAUUUGAAGCUCUAUAGUUUCGCUAGAAAAUGAAUAGCAUCUUGGAGAGACUGUUGGAAUAAUUAAUAAUUUCAUAUGUGGGCUUCACAUUCGAUUGCAAAUUUUACGGGUUAGAUGUAUGGCUCAUAAUGAUAUUUGUGUUUGGGCCAAAUUUAUUAAGUGAUCAAUUGGGUCUUUUACACCUUACGGGUUGUCAUUAAUUUGAUGUGGUAAUUGUAAGUAUUUGGGCCGAAAAUAAACCCUAAUUAGAAUUAUAAUCGUAAUGAGACGGCUCAAAUCAUUUUCUAUAUAUAAAGGGUAGGCCCCCUCUCCUCUCCAUACAUUUUUAUUGGUUUGCCCCAUUGAUAGCUAAUGCUUUUGUGAGGAGCAAAGAGAGAAAGAUCUUGACUGCUAUUACAACAAUUAUUCAUAUCAACAAUGGCUUCCGUAGGUAUGAAUUCGUUUCUAUAAAUUUAUUGGAAUGUGAUUGUCGAUUCUUAACAUGAUUAAAACUAAAUAAUAACAAUUGAUAUUAGAGCGGCAUGUUAAGAUCGAAAUCUUUCAUGAAUUAUUAUUUUUUUUUUCUUUUCUGUUCAUAUAUAUUUUCGUGUAUAAUUCAGCCAUCAAAAUCCAAAAUUGCAAAAAUCCAAAAUCCCACCUUUUCCAGAAAAGUCAGCAAACCCAAUGUGCAAAACACUAUCUCUCUCCUCUUUUUAUAUUACGCCCCUAUUUGAGCCCCAUUACAUUAAAUUAUAUUACAUUUCAUUUUUCUCUCUCCUAUCUUCAACCACAAUCUUCCAUAAAAUAAUAUUACAAGUUUCCAAUCGAAAACUUUUCAUUCUUUUUCAACCACUCAUUUUUUAAAAAAACACUAUUCCCCCCAUUAAUUUUUCUACGUAAUGGAGAUCAAACAGAGGCUACAUACAAUGCGUGAACAAUAAAUUUCCCUCUCUCUCCUCCUUUUAUAUGUAUGUAUAAAUGGCUGUAAAGAAACACUUUACAUGGCUGUAAAGAAACAUAGUGUGGGCGACCAACGUGAGAUGCCUAUGCAUAGGAUGUUAACUUUUUGGGCUAUGUUUGAAUUUCUUGAAUGCUAUCUCGUGAUGAAUCAAUGAAUGUAAUUAUCAAAAAAAAAAAAAAAAGCGUUGCAGGGUAAUGCCGUCGGUUGCUGUUGUCUUAGCGGCAGCAACGCCGACUGAAAGUAAAAAAAAAAAAAAAAAUUGUUUUUGUCCUUUUUUUUGGGCAGAGAUGUAGACGGGGGCUUUUGUCAUAAACUAACCAAUCUUCAAACCCCUGUUUGCAAUUAUCAGUUGGGGGUCAUAUUGUAAUUACUUAAAUAAGGACCUGCCAUGCAAUUUUAAAUAUGAAGGACCUGAUUUUAAUUUGUGUUUAGUAUUAAAAUGUAAUUUUCGAUAAGGGGCUCUUAAAUUUGAACUUCUAAACUUUUGACCCUAAAAUUUUAUUUUUGACCAAAUUAAAACUUUAGUUGAUAAUUGACCCGAUUAAAAUAUAUUAGAUAAUAAUAAUAAUAAUUUGAUUGACGACUUUUAUAUUUUUCAUUAAAUUGUAUAUGUAUUUAAAUAUUGCCAUUAUUUAUGCAUUUAAAUUUCAUUUUUUGAAAUUUUGUUGUCAAUUUCGUCUCUCAAUCGCAUAUAAAUUUUUUUUAUUUCAUCAAUUAAUGAUUAUGAUGUGUUGCGUAAUUAUUGUUUUGUGAUCGAAUUUUUAUGGAAUUUGAGACGAUCCUUAUUUUUCCCACAAAGAGAAAUAUUUUGAAAUAAAAAUGGAAGGUAGCUGCCAAAGUGGCACACUCAUUAUUAUUUAUUCGAUUUUCUCUACAGUAAAAUAUAUAUAUAUAUAUAUAUAUAAUUUAUAUGUUUCGAUUUAAAUUACGGAUUAUCUAAUUAAUAACUCAUAUUAAUUAGUUGGAUAUUUCAUCAUCCAUUUGAUUGCAUGCAUUACGUUUGGAUGAUAUUAGAGUGAUAUUUUAUGUUUCCACAGUUUAUAAUGCCUCAUCUCUUUCGAAUCAAUUGUCUGCUAUUGAAACCUUGACUGGGAAUAACUAUGUGAGAUAGAAACGAGACGUAGAAAUAACACUUGAUCUUUUGGGCUUGGAUUUUACAAUAGAGAAAAAGCUUGAGAAACCCAUAGAUAAAAGUACCGUUGAAUAUGUAGUCAAGCAUGAAAAGUGGGAAAGGGCUAACAAACUCUGUUUGAAAAUCAUUAAGCGAUCGAUAUCUGAUUCUAUUCUAGGUGUCAUCCCUAAUAAUGAAAAUGCAAAAGUUUUAUGGAUGCUAUAGGAGAAAACUUUGUUGAGUCUGAUAAAGCCGAAACUGGAGAUCUGAUAAAUAAAUUGAUGAGCAUGAGAUAUGAUGGCACAAGUGGUGUUAGGGAGCAUGUCAUGAAAAUGAUAAAUAUAUCAUCUAAGUUAAAGGCUCUUGACAUCCCAUUGUGGAGCCUUUCCUAGUCUAUCAUGUUUUAAAUAGCCUUCCUAGCAAGUUUAAUCAGCUUAAGGUUGCUUACAAUGCUCAGUGGAAUAAAUGGAAUUUGAAUGACCUCACAGCAGUGUGUGUCCAAAAAGAGUAUAGGAUGCGCCGUGAAACUGUUGAAACUGUGCAAUUAGCUUUUCAACCAUCACAAAAUAAGGGGUCUUCUCAUAAUCAUAAACCUAAGUUUCAUAAGGGUAAUAAGUCUCACCGACGUCACCAGAAUAAAAAUUUUAGUGGUCCCAAAGGAGUUAUAAAGAAAAAUGAUCAAUGCAAGUUUGGUAAAAAGAAGGGUCACUGGCAGAAAGACUGUUUUAAGUUCAAGACUUGGUUGGAAAAGAAGAAGAGUUCUCCAGGUAUUCCCUCGACCUUAGUUUGUUUUGAGUCUUCUUUAGUAGAUGUGCUUUUGAAUUCUUGGUAGUUAGACUCGGGAACUUUUAUUCAUAUUGCGAAUUCCUUACAGGGGUUCACAAGCAAACGAAGGCCAAGUGAGAAUGAAGUAAGCUUGAGCGUUGCAAAUGGAUUUCAAGUGAAGGUUGAAUUCAUAGGAGUGAUGAAGUUAACUUUAGAGUCUGUUUUUUUCUUGUUUUGGAAAAUAUAGUUUAUGUACCACAGAUGAGACGGAAUUUAAUUUCUAUACCGAAACUUGAUGCUUUUGGUUUUACAUUUAAUUUUGGUAAUGGAAUGGUUAAGUUAUUUAAUGAUUCUCGUUUGAUUGGAAAUGACAUUUUAUGUGAUAGUUUAUAUAAAUUAUCUUUGGCUCCUUUUGGUGAUGUCUCAUGUGUUACCAAUGUAUCAAAGAAAAGAACUUUAAUUUGUGAAUCAUCCUCUAUGUUGUGGCAUAAGCGUUUGGGUCAUAUCUCUAAGGAUAGAAUGGAAAGAUUAGUAAAAGAUAAGAUACUUCCCUCCUUAGACUUCUCCGAUUUUGACACCUGUAUAGAUUGUAGAAGAGGAAAGUUAACUAAGUCGAGGAGGAAGGGUUUGACUAGGAGUAAUGAAAUUUUGGACUUAAUUCACAUUGAUAUCAGUGGACUUUUGCCUUCCAUUAUAUGUGGGAAUAAAUAUUUCAUAACCUUCAUUGAUGAUUUCUCACGAUAUGGAUAUGUUUACUUUAUUAACGAUAAAUCACAUGCACUUGAGAAAUUCAAAGUUUUCAAAUUGGAUGUAGAGAAACAAUGUGGAAAAAGUAUCAAAGUUGUAAGGUCUGGCAGUGGUGGUGAGUAUUAUGGGAAAUAUGAAGAGUCUGGUCAAAAUAUGGGUGAUUUUGCAAAGUUUUUACAAGAGUGUGGAAUAGUGCCCCAAUACACCAUGCCAGGGACACCUGAGCAAAAUGGUAUUUCUGAAAGACGUAAUCGAACUCUAAAAUAUAUGGUUAGAAGUAUGAUGAGUAGAACAAAUUUGCCUGAAUAUUUGUGAGGUGAAGCUUUGAAAACAGCUAUGUAUAUUUUGAACAGAGUUCUAAGUAAAGUUGUUGCAAAGGCACCUUUUGAAUUAUGGAAAUGACGUAAGCCAAGUAUGGCUCACUUUAAAGUUUGGGGAUGUCCAGCUGAGAUUAGGAUUUAUAAUCCAUUUGAAAAGAAAUUAGAUCCUAAAUCAACUCCUGACUACUUUAUUGGGUAUCCGGAUAGAUCAAAGGGAUAUAAGUUUUACUGUCCAAAUCGCGGCACUAGAAUUGUGGAAUCCAUUAGUGCUAAGUUUCUGGAGAACGAUUUUGGAGAUAAUGGGAGUUCCACGUUGAGAGAAAUUAUUGUUGAACCUAAUCAAGAUGUUGUUCCAGUUCCUGUCAUACAGGAAAGAGUUAGUUCUCAACCAAUUGAAAUUGUUAAUGAAGAACCGAGAAACCAGGAGGAAUCUCCAAUUCCUCGGACAAUGAUUGAAUCGGUUUCUGAGCCACAAGUUAGGAGAUCACAAAGGGAAAGAAGAUCUGCAUUGCCCAAUGAUUAUAUUAUAUAUUUAUUGGAGAGCGAUUUUAAUGUUGGGCAUAUUGUUGAUCCUGUAACUUAUAACCAAGCAUUGAAAAGUCCUGAGGCAGAUAAAUGGAUAGUUGUCAUGGAAGAUGAAAUGAAUUCCAUGGAAAGGAAUAAAGUUUUGGAUCUUUUUGAACUUCCUCCAGAUGCUAAAACUGUAGAUAACGAGUGGAUUUUCAAAAGUAAAUUAGAUUCAAAAGGAAAUGUUGAAUGAAAGAAAGCAAGAUUGGUUGCAAAAGGUUUCACUCAACGAGAGGGCAUUGAUUAUGUUGAAACCUUCUCCCCUAUUUCGUCAAAAGAUUCUUUUUGAAUUAUCAUGGCUCUUAUGGCACACUACAAUUUGGAGCUUCAUCAAAUGGAUAUUAAGAAAGUAUUUUUGAAUGGAGAUCUUUCUGAAAUGGUUUAUAUGAAACAACUGAAGGUUUUGCUGUGAAAGGAAAAGAAAACUUGGUGUGUAAGUUAAACAAAUCAUUGUAUGGACUUUAGCAAGCAUUUAAAUAGUGGUAUUUGAAGUUUGAUGAGGUUGUGACAUCUCUUGAUUUUGUCGAAAAUACUAUUGAUCGAUGCAUUUAUCUUAAAACCAGUGGGAGAAAUUUUAUUUUCCUUAUAGUAUAUGUUGAUGACAUUCUGCUUGCUAGCAGUAACUUAGGGCUGCUUCAUGAGAUAAAGAAAAUGUUGUUUACUAAUUUUGAGAUGAAAGAUCUUGGAGAAGCUUCCUAUGUACUUGGCAUUGAAAUACACCAUGAUAGAAAUCGUGGCUUAUUGGGACUUUAUCAGAAUGCUUAUAUAUGACGUGUUCUAGAAAUGUUUAAUAUGCAGAAUUGUACACCUGGUGAUGUACCUAUCAUAAAAGGAGAUAAAUUUGACAAAACUCAAUGUCCAAGGAAUGAGCUGGAAAGGGAGUCUAUGAAGAUGAUCCCAUAUGCUAGUACUGUGGGGAGCUUGAUGUAUUUUCAAGUUUGCACUAGACCGGAUAUAGCCUAUGCAGUAAGUGUCCUUAGCAGAUUUCAGUCUAAUCCAGGACAAAAGCAUUGGAAAGCAGCUAAGCAAGUUAUGAGAUAUUUGAAGAAAAUUGAAAGUUAUAUGCUUACAUUCCAGCGUACAAAUUAUCUUGAGGUGGAAGGAUAUUCAGAUUCUGAUUUUGCUGGAUGUCAAGAUGAUUUGAAAUCAACCUCAGGUUAUAUUUUUACAUUAGCUAGUGGUGCCAUUUCUUGGAAAAGUGAUAAACAGACUCUAGUGGCAUCUUCUACUAUGCAAGCUAAAUUUGUGGCAUGUUAUGAGGUUAUAGUCCAAGCUGUUUGGUUAAGAAAUUUCAUCUCUAGCUCAAAAGUUGUUGAUUCCAUCUCAAGACCGAUCACCAUCUAUUGUGAUAACAGUGCAGCAGUAUUCUUUUCAAAAUAAUAAAAGUUCUGGUGGAUCAAAACAUAUUGACAUCAAAUAUUUGGUUGCUAGAGACAGAAACAAAGAAGGGCAGACGAAAAUAGAGCAUAUCAAUACAGAGGCGAUGGUUGCAGAUCCCUUGACUAAGGGACUCGCUCUAAAAGCCUUUAAGACACAUGUCACUAAUAUGGGCAUUGUGGAAACAUUUGAUAUUUUUGGUUAGUGGAAAUUAUAUAUAUGUAAAGAACUACGUUUUGGACUUGAUCCCUUUACGGGGUACGUAGGCAUCCCAUAUGUUUUCGGGUACUGCCCCUUCUGAUAAAAUAAUUUUUCCCCUAUCCAUAAACUAUUCUGAGCAUGCAUUUGACUUAUGUCUUUUCAUAAUAUUACUAUGAUCUCGAAAUAUGACAUAUAAAGAUAUAAGAUGAGUCUCUUUUGGAGACACGUGGCUUCAUUUUGAUUCGAAGCAUUAUUAGGAUCGAUAUGAGUUAGCACAGUUUUUUGAUCACAUUUGGUACUAAGUUAAUACCACAUACUACCACAUUGGUUAGAGGAUGAGGAUCCAUGUCGAUAAGGAUGUUGACAUUUGUAGUUGUGGGAUGAUCUUACAUCACUUAAUUGGUGUAAUGACUUCCAUGUUCGAUGUUAAUAUUCUUGUUGGACCGGAUCAUAUUAUGUAAGGUGUCAUCAUUGGAGCUAUACUUUUGUGGCCACCUAUGUAGUCUAACCCGGGCGUUGAAACUUUGUUAUAGCAAUCAAAUGUUUGCCCAAGUGGCAGAAUGUUGGAAUAAUUAAUAAUUCCAUAUGUGAGCUUCAUAUUUGAUUGCAAAUUUUACGGGUUAGAUGUAUGGCUCAGAAUGAUAUUUGUGUUUGGGCCAAAUUUAUUAAGUGACCAAUUGGGCCUUUUACACCUUACGGAUUGUAAUUAAUUUGAUGUGGUAAUUUUAAGUAUGUGGGCCAGAAAUAAACCCUAAUUAGAAUUCUAGUCGUAAUGGGACGGCUCAAAUUAUUUCCUAUAUAUAAAGGCUAGGCCCCCUCUCCGCUCCAUAUGUUUUAUUGGCUUGCCCUAUUGAUAGCUAAUAAUUUUUUGAGGAGCAAUGAGGGGAAGAUCUUGGCUGCUAUUACAACAAUUAUUCAUAUCAACAAUGGCUUCCGCACGUAUGAAUUCAUUUCUAUAAAUUUAUUGGAAUGUGAUUGUCGAUUCUUAACACGAUUAAAAUUAAAUAAUAACAGAGACGUCCACAAUAAAUAUUCGAAGACCAGAAGUUAUUUCAUUGAUAUAAUCAAAUAUUAAAUCUUCAUUGAGAAGGUCGAAGAAAACUAGAAGAAGUUCACUAGAGGAAAGUAGGAGGAACAUGUUCUUAUACCUACUACAACUACAACCACCAAAGCUCGCAAUUAACUUCGAAAUUCUUCAGGAUACAUCAAAUGUGUGACAUAAUACAUAGGAAUGUAUGAAACUGUAUCUAGAGAAGAUCUUGUGGACCGACGGCAUAAUCAACAAGGCAUCUAAGCAAGGGAAAUCGCCCCAAUAGGUCCUUCUCUACCUAGACAUGAGAAUCAGCCAAGGAUGGUGAUGGUCGUACCAUAUGAUGAGAUAAACCAUCGAGAAAUGAUCAGUCCUCGAACAACAACACUAACUAGUGUGAAAAAUUAAUUCAACCAUUAGUAGGUUCUUUGUAGGAGGUAAACGAUGAACUUUCCAAGGAAUUGCAUGAGGGAGGAUAUAAAACUACCCCAAGAGAGUUGAUAGGUACAAGGAAAUCAUCCAAGGCAUAUCACUUUAAAAGAAAAGGCGAAUGGGGUUUUACUAACAAUAUUGUAAUGCACUAGCGGUGAGAGUCAAGAAAAAUGCUCAUUGAUGACGAGGUCCUGUCAACAUUUUAUUCGAAAGCGCCUUCAAUUAAAUUGAGGCUGAUUAAGAAUUCAUCUCGAUGUCGUAGUAACUUUUUAGAUUCAUGAGCAACAACCUCAUCUCUCUACGUGCAAUAAGUUUGGGAGUAGAAAUAAGGGGAAGAGCUAAAUAGGGAUAGAGGUAAACGAAGUUCUUCAUCAUGGAUGCUAGAUCCUCCUAUCAUGGAGUUCUAGGGCAAAUGAUUUUAAAGGAUUUACGGUCAAUCCAUGAAACAGAUGUAAACAUUCUCCAUUUAUCUUGAUAGGGAGACAUGAAUACUACAAAUUAAAAUUGGUCAAUUAGAGGAAUUGAAAGUGUAAGUAUUAUGCCCCAGGUCCAAUCAACUUUUGACAUAAACACUUUUAAUGUAUAAUUAAUGCAAUUUAUGGCAAAUCUAUUAUUUAAUUAAUGUUCAAUUUAUUUAAUUUUGACGUAAACACUUUUAAUGUAUAAAAAAAAAAGAGGCGGUCAACAACGGCACAGUAGGCGACAGCGACAACAAAGUGCUACUAGGUGCAAAGGCAGCAGCGACAGCCCAAGAAAUUGAAGCACGAAGUGCUGCAAUCACACAAUAGUACUGUACUGCUGUAGCGAUGGAUGCCAUCGCUGUCAUAUAGAGGUGACGAUCCACUGCACAUUGCCCAAGGACAUCACCAUGAGUGCUGCCCCUUUUUUCAAUUUUCAUUUAGGGUUUUCUUUCGAACGGGAGACGUGAAUUGGAAUGGGGGCAUGCCUUUCAAUUUUCGAAAUCGUAGGGCCUCUACCUUAAAUUUCAUUAGGGGGUCAAUGUGCAAUUUUUAAAAAGAGGGGCAUUUCUAUAAUUUACGAAUUUGGAAAGCUCUAGUAUUAAUUUUAAAAUCGGGUUGGAUUGCAAUUUUUCAAAAGGGUUUUAAAUGCAAUAUUUCAAAUGGUUUUGAAAUUGAAUUUCAAAUGGGUUUUGACCUAUAUUAUCUAUUUUGACCCAAGUUAAAUUUUAUUUAAAAAUGACGACCUUUUAUAUUUUCGUUAAAAUUGGAUUUUAACUUGAAUAGUAAAUUUUGAUCCAAAAUUGAAUUUUGUUUUAUUUAAGAAUUUCAUCCUAAAUAACAAUGUUAAUUCAAUUUAAAUUAGAGUUGGACUCUAAUUUAGUAGUUAAUCAAAUUUGAUUUUAAUUAAAUAAUUCACCCUAAUAUGUUCUUGAAAAUUAAAUUGGAUUCUAAUUGGAUAUUUAAUUAAAAUUUGAUCUUAACUAAAUUGUCCUGCCAUAAUUUAUUUUCUUGAAAUUGGAGAAUCUAAUUUCAUAUUUAAUUAAAAUUUGAUUUUAAUUAAAUAAAUUCGCCCUAAAUCUUUGAAUUAGAGUUGGGCUCUAAUUUUGCUAUUUAAUUAAAAUUUGAUUUUAAUUAAAUUCAACCGCAUUAAGUUUUGAAAUUAGAGUUGGACUCUAAUUUGAUAUUUAAUUAAUAUUUGAUUUUAAUUAAAUAGUCUUGCCCUAUAAUUGUGGAAUUAGAGUUGAACUCUAAUUUGGUAUUUAAUUAAAAUUUGAUUUUAAUUAAAUAUACUCGCUAAUUAAAUUAAUUGAUUAAUAUUAUUAAUUAAUUGUUUAAUUGCUCCAAUCCAUUUGUUUAACAUAAUUUAGACGACCUUAAUUGCUAAAAACUUGAAACAUAUUUGUAUAUAAUAUUAAAUAUUAUAUAGGAAUGCAUUUAUAUAAUGAAUGCAUUAUUAGUGGACGAUUAUGAACUUGAUCAUGUGGAUGUAUUGAAUGAUUAAUUUUAUUCUUGUCAUUUUAUGAGCCUAUGAGUUUGUUAUUAUUAUGGGCCUGGGAACUCUUAAUCAUUUCGGACCUGCGAAUCCAUUGUUGUUAUUAUUACUAUGGGCCUGUGUGUUCAAUUUUAUUUAGACUUACGUGCCAACAAAUAUGGAUACAGGUUAUAGCUGGUUGAUUGAAGAUGUAAGAAGAGGGAAAAAUCAUAGAGAUGGUGCAUUGAUACUCAUCGAUAUAUAUAUGUUGCAUGGUAGAUGUAUAAUAAAAUAUAUAGAUUGUUACGAUGAGACAUUUGAAUGCAAAACCUCUCAAUAAAAUAUUAAAUCACAUUUUAUAUUCGCCUUUCAUCAUUAUAGUGAAAAAAUAGAGUCCUCAACCGAUUUUUUUCGUCAAAAAAAUGAAAGUCGCUUGCUCGCAUCCAUCCUCUAUUACACUGUCGGAACAAAAAUACAGCUUAUUGAGUACACUCAAAAAUGGUCUAUUAUGAAUAUGUUUAAUACUAUGAAAUAUUAGAUAUUUCUAAAUGAUGAUUUUGACUUAAAAACUAAAAUUUAUCUUUUUUUAAGCACACUUAAGGAGAUGAAUUUUAGAGGCACGUUAUGCUAACACAUAAGAUGCGUGAAGACAAGAAAUUGUUAGCUUAAUGAUCUGAGAGUUGUAUGGAGAUACAAUUAAUAAUAGUAUCUACCCAAAUAUUUUAUUAAGGCUUGUUGAGUACACUCAAAGUCUUAAUAUAACAAAUGGGAUCCCAGCCCACUGAGAAUGAAGUAUGGAUUCCAUAAAUUUAUGAGAGAGGGUUAUAAAUUUAAGUUAAAUAGUUGGAACAUAAUUAAUUUAAUAAAAGUUCAUGUUAAAUUAAUUGAUGCAUUUUAUAUAUUAUUCACUUUCGUCAUUUAUAUUGAAUUUUAAGUAACCAUAUGUAUUUGAGAGGCAUACUAAAUGCCAACAUUCAAACCAAAUUUUCUUGAUUGACACUACAAUCUCAGGCAUGGAAAAAUUGGUUAUGUCCUUAAGUAGCCCUUUCCAGAGACGCAUGAUGAUGACUCGUUAAGGAAGAGAUGGCUACUAUAAUAACACAGUGAUGACAAUAUUACUGUAACAUAUGUGAUGUUUACGUUACGCCACCUGAGUUACAAAAGAAACAUAAGAGUAUAUAUACUAAUACAUGAUUUUUCAUUUCAAAUAGUUGUAUGAUAAUAAUCAUGUGUGGAAGGAUAUGAGACUUCCAAGCUACUAUACCAGUGCAAAAUGACAAAGCGAUUUUCGGUCAAUGCUCAUGAACUGAAGAUGAUUGGCAUUGAGGAGUUGUCUUAAUUGAGUUCAAUAAUGAACUAUGAAUUAAGUAUUGAACCAGUUCUGUAAUCUCUAUCAUAGAGUUAUUUAUACUAAUUAUGAUAUGAUUAAACUCGAAUGCACACUCAUUGAGUUGCUCAACAUGUUUAAGACUGUUAAUCCCUAUAUCAAAGUUAGUAGUAGGCAAGCCAUUGAUUCCUCUAAAGGUAUUAAGAGGAAGUCUAAAGGGGCUUUGAGAAAACAUCCAAUAUGGAUAAGACCGUCAAAGUGAAGGAUAAUAUCAAAUGUAAUGACCCUUGGUUUCAUUAUAGAAUGAAAAGGUCAUUAGAAGAAACAUUGCAAGACUUAUGUCUACUUCAUGAGAUUCUUAAAUAUUUGAUACCAGAUGUGGAUCUCAUAUUUAUGUAAAUAUAGAGAAACUAAAUAGAAGUAGACAACUACAAAAGGAAAAAGUUGACUUGCACAUUGAAGAUGAGCAAAGGUUGCUACAUUACCUGUAGGAGCAUACCUUUUGCCAUUACCUUUAAACUGAGUACUGGAAUUAGAAAAAUAUUACUUUAUACCUACCAUAACUAGAACAUUAAAUGAAUUUCAUGUUUGGACAUGAACUAUUUUAAUGUUAAAGAUAAUUGUUGUUCCUGUUUACCUUCAUAGAGAUCUUAAUGGUUAUGGUAAAUUAUAAAACGACGUUUAUAUUCUAAAUACUAAGCAUUCUAUAAUGAGUAUAGAAGUUAAGAGACACAAAAGUGAUAAUCUGAAUAAUAUCAAAAUCUGACACUGUGAAGUUGGCUAUAAAAAUGAAAUGCAAUUCCAAAAUUACAUAGAGAUGUAUACGUGGGGUCAAUUGAUUUUGAAUCAUUUGACAAGUGCAAAUCAUGUCUGUUUAGUACAAUGACAAAAUCUCCUUUUACUUGAAAAGGAGAAAGGUCUGUAUAAAUAGUGGCUUAAUACAUAGUGAUGUAAACGGGCCCAUGUCAACUAAUGUCAAAUGAAGUUUCUCUUAUUUUAUCAAUGAUCAUGUAUACUUGAUGAAAUUCAAGCAUGAAGCUCUUGAAAUAUUCAAAGGAUUCAAGCUAAAAGUAGAGAAACAAAUAGGUAAAGGUAUCCUCACACUAAGAUCCGAUCGAUGUGGGAAUAUGAUAAGAGUGUAAACUAUGAUAGUUUGCCCUCUUAAUUGUUGCAUUCGCAUGAUUAUUUGAUAUCAAAAUGCACUAUUUACUCUUAUGUUUUGAUUUAGGUCACAAUUUGAUGGAAAAACCAAAAUUUGGAAGAAACGAAUGAAAAAUGGCAAAGUGGAAGAAAAUGAAAGUUCGGGGACUAAAGUGCAAAUACUCCAAACUUGUGUAUAAUCUUAUGAUGAAGAUUCGAGAGUGUUAGAGGUCAAGCGGAUGAGGAAAGAUGUCAAGUGUAUGAAAUACAGUCAAAAUAUGAUCACACGUCAAUUUCCAAUCGAAAAAGUUGUGAUCGAUUUUCAGCCUUAUCUUAGGACACAUUUUUGACAUGGUAAACUAUCGAAUUGGAAGAUGAUGUCUGAAGAAAAGUCGUAGCCUUUUGAGUUAUCUUUCUAACAACUUAAAUCAUCUCAAUUGGACAUCGGGAGAGAAGUUAUGGCCAAAAUACUAAAAGUUGUUCGACAGAGAGCCAUGCGACCACAUGGGUGUUUUUCGAGGGCGAAAUCUCAGAUUCCUAUAAGCCAUGCGACCGCAUGGGUGUUUUUCAAGGGUGAAUCUCAUAUUCCUAUUUUGACGUGGACACUUAUAGAAACUUGUUUGGCACACGUUUUUAAGUCCUAAUCUCGACCCAGAAUGUCAUUCUUCCUCUCCACAUCAAUUUUCUCUCAUUUUGGGUGAAGAAACUUCAUAGAAGGCUAGAAAUUCUUGGUGGAGCAAGGGGGGAACUCGAUUGGUAUCGAUUAUUUCAACGUUUCUCAUACUUGUAAUAUGAUUUUCAUUGCUAAACAAUUCUAGAUUUGGGUUUCUUGUUCUUAUAAAUAUGUUUUGAGAUUUAUUUAAUAUAUAUUAGAUUUUCAUGGAUCUAAUCAUGUUCUUUUUCAUCGAAUAAUUGAAGUAGAUAUUGAAUUUCAAUUUCAAGCAUUGUUGUGAGAUUGAUUUAACUUUCACUAUAUUUUACAUAGAUUUAAUCAUGUUUUAUCUAUCUUGAAAUUAACUUAAUUGUUAAAUUUCAAUUUCAAUUAUCUAUUGCUGUGAUUCUCUAUGAUUUUAUGCUUGAUGUAUAAGGUGGAUUUAGAAUCUGAUUUUAAUAGAUUAAAGUGGGUAUAUGUUAUGGGAAAUCCAUAUUUUAGAAUUACUGUAGAAUAAAAUUGGGCCUUAAUGUUAUAUUCCUCAACUAAAGUUUGAUAAAACAAUCUUUAAUUGAGUGCAUGAAUGCAUGAUUGACGUUGAAUGAUCCGAACCAAUCGAGGAAAUCCUGACACUUCACUAUUUCAUACUUUGAUUCAAAUCCCGUAAAUUCACAUAUUAACAUUUGAACACAUUUCAAAUUGAUAUAUUAUCUGCUAUACAACUCACAACGAAAAUCCUAGUUUGUUGGACCAUUUAAUUAAUUUCCCAUCUCCCUUUAGAUACGACACCUCAAAACUAUAUUACAAUCACCGCGUUACACUUUGGGCAUAAUCAAAAUAUCUUAAAAAUGAAAUUUAGAUUAUCUAAAAGAGAAUGGGAUUCUCUUGUAGUGAACUUCCCCACAUACAUUGCAACGUAAUGGUGUAUCUGAAAGGAGGAAUCAUAAACUAUUAGAUACAGUGUGAUUAAUAACAAGCCAUGCAAACAUCCCAAAAUCGUUUAGGGCUCAUGCACUAAUUACAGUGUGCUACACACUAAAUUUGGCCUAUCUAAAUUGGUCAACAAAACUCCAUACGAGUUAUGAAAAAAGAAAAAGUCCCAAUUUAACUCAUGAAAGUUUGGGGCUGUGAUGCUUGUUUGAAAUGCUCUGAAUUGGAUACGUUUAGGACUAAAUCCAAUAAAUAUAUAUUUGUGGAAUAUCCAAAAUAAAUAUUUGGAUAAUAAUUCUAUUAACCCAUUGAGAAGAAAGUCUUCGCCUUACGACAUAUCAUCUUCUUAGAAAGAUGUUUACUCUAGGAGAGGACAAUGUGAGCAAAAUAGAACUUGAAAGAGUUCAAGAGUCCACAAAUAUAAUUGACCAGAUAGAUAAAUCUGAGUUUGAUCACAUGUCUGAUGAGGGACAUACUCUUGAUCAGGAAGUAGAGACUUUUGAGGAUAUGACAGCUCCAUUUAAAUCUAGUAUGAUUAUUCGACCUUCAAGAAGGUGCCAAUCCACGAUUACUAAUCAAGUUUUAUUAAUUAGGGAUGAUGAACUUGCUAAUGACACAGAAGUAGAGUCAAGUGUUGACUCAAAUAGAUGGUAAGAGGCCAUGGGAAUCUGAAAUGAACUCAAUGUAUGAAAAUUAAGUUUGGACUUUGGUCGACCCUCAUGAUGGGAUAAAACCCAUAUAUUUUAAAUGGUUUAUAAGGUAAAGUUUGACAUGGAUGGGAAUAUCCAUACAUACAAAGUAAGGCUAGUAGAAAAAAAUUACAGAUAAAAACAAAGUGUUGACCUUGAUAAAAUCUUUCACCUGUAGCCAUGCUGAAGUCCAUUCGAAUUUUGGUUGCAAUAGUUAUAUGUCGUGACUAUGGGUUAAAGCAAGCCUCUUGAAGCUGAAAUUUUCGAUUUAAUGGAAAAAUCAAAAGGUUUGAUUUAUCAAAUAUGAAAACGAAUUAUGUGUUUACAAGAAGAUAAUGAGAGCAUUGUCACAUUUCUAAUAUUAUAUGUAAGACAUAUUAUUAAUAGGAAACGACAUUCCUAUGUUUUAAUCGUUGAAAUAAUAGCUGUUAAAUGUUUUUUCAUGAAAGAUAUGAGACAAGCAACUUGAUCUAUAGAGAUAGAUUUAGAAAAUUGCUUUACUCAUCCCAAUCUUCAUAGAUAAAAUCUUGAGAACCGUUGGUUCUAAACGAUGUGUUGAAAAGGUUUUAAAUGUGAAACAACCGUUGGUUCAAUAGCAGAAACCUAAUACGUGAUUAUUUCAGAAACACCAAAGAGUUGUAGUGUGGAUCAAGAUGUUCAUUAAUAAACUUGGAGUAGUUCCUAACAUUGUUGAUCAUAUGUCAUUGUAUUGUGAUAACAAUAGAGUCAUCGUAUAAGUGCAGAAACUAAGGUCUUAUCAAUGAUCCAAAUAUGUAUUAAGGUAGUAUCAUUUCAUCAAAGAGAUAAUACAAAAAAAUGACGUAAACAAAGGAAAAAAUUUCGACAAUUGAAAAUAUUGCAGAUCCACUAACAAAAAGUUGUCUCAUUAUAAACAUGACAAUCAUGUAGAUUCUUAUGAUAUUAGAUACAUAAUUGAUUGGAUCUAGUACAAGUGGGACUUUGUAAGUGUUAUGUGCUAAGCCCAAUCAACUUUGGACAUAAACACUUUUAAUAUACAGUUGAUGCAAUUUAUGAUAGAUCUUUUAUUUAAUUAAUAUUCAAUUCAAUUAAAAUAAUAGAGUCCAUAGAUUCAAAUCUUGGAAAUUUGUUAAUCACAAGGAGUUGUGACUAUGAGAAAUAAAUUACAUAUGAUUGAAUCAUAAAUUAUUCAUGGUCAUAAGUAAUAACUAGAUACAGAUAUUUUUAUUACGGAUAGAUCAUCACAUGUGGUAUUUCUUACUUGUGAAGUAAGUAGAUAAUCUCAUAAGUUGAGAUGUGUUGACACUUAAAUGAAAUGUGGACGUUUUGUUAUAGAACAAAAACGUUGGAUACCCUCUAAGAGAUUCUAUAUAGAUAACUAUCUGAAUGUCAAUGGUUAAUCUCUAACGUUCUGUAGUGAAAUUAGUCCUUUGACUUGAGGUCAUCAUAGUGCCUUAUGUGAGGGCAAUCAUACUUUGGUGAUGUUGGAUGUUGCUCUGCCAAGGGCCGUGAAUAUGGCAUCGUUCGGGUAUGUCAAGAAUUAUAGGAAAGUUGUGAAUGACAAAAAGAGGAUUCGUCACUCUUAGAUAGUAAGAGAUUAUGAUCCAUAUUUCAUUCAGUUAAGUUGAUAACAAAAUCCUUAGCUAAGGUGUACUCAUAAGUCGAAAAUGAGUUUUCGAUUUACAUUGACUUAAUAGUGGAAUGAAAGAUAUGAUCGAUAAUCGAAUUGACACACUUCUAUAUCUCGUAAUUGAUCAGAUCAUAUUGACGAAAUGAUUAUAGUUUCACGGUAAACGAUCAAGUUUGGUUUUGUCAUACCACGUGAAAUUUUUCGUCACAUGUAUUACCCUGACACAUUGCUAGAUGUCAUUCUGGGACGGUGAAUAUGAAUUAGUGAUAAAUUAAAUUGGAUGUUUUAAUUUAUCAUUUUUGAUUAAAUCAAAAUAAUAAUUAACAUCGUUAAGCAUCGUGAUCGGUAACUGAUGGGUCACACAUAAAAGGAAAACUAAAAGAUUGUGUUUUACCAAUUAAUUAAUUUAACAAAUAUUGGAUAAAUUAAAUAUUUGGGUCGCUUAUAUUAUAGGCCCGAAUGAAUAAUUGGGUUGCUUAUUUAUAUAUAUAUAUAUAUAUAUAUAUAUAUAUAUAUAUAUAUAUAUAUAUGUUUUUUGUNNNNNNNNNNNNNNNNNNNNNNNNNNNNNNNNNNNNNNNNNNNNNNNNNNNNNNNNNNNNNNNNNNNNNNNNNNNNNNNNNNNNNNNNNNNNNNNNNNNNNNNNNNNNNNNNNNNNNNNNNNNNNNNNNNNNNNNNNNNNNUAUAUAUAUAUAUAUAUAUAUAUGAUUUUUGUCUCAAUUUUGUUCCUUGUAUGAAUUUUCAUUGGAGGUUGGACAAUUAGACAACUGCGAGUGGCAGGUUAAGAUUGUUGGAACGAAAGAAGCGCAAAGGAGGUUGUAUAAUUUUUUUUUAAAAAAAAAAGGUACGAUUUCUAUCACUUCUUCUGUCCAAACAAAAAGUAGAUCCUUAGUGGAAAUUGAAAUUUGUUUUAUUUUCGCUGUGCAUGAUUAAGUAAAUUCCCAACAGAAAGGAAAGAUGAAAUAAUUAAAUAAUUCUUGUAUGCUAUCUUGAAUGUUGUUGCUUGGAAAAAUUCAAACAUGGUAGGAAUUGAUCUCGUUAUGACUUUCCAUGCAUAUUGAAAGUUGAUAGAAAAUUAUGGUACGGAGUUAAAAAAAUUGAGGCCUUUGUAUGGAGAAAGCUAUAAAGCAUUGAAACAUGAAGUAGACAAUGUGACCAAUGAGUUUAUUUGGGAAGCAACAUACCCCAAAUGAGGGGGAAGUCCAUAGCUGACAUUUUUGUAGAGUUCGCAAACCAUUCGGAUGAGACUCCAGCAUAAAAAUUGUAUGUUGAUGGGUCCAAAGAAGAAAUAUGGACGAACAUAGGAUCCUUUAUCAUGAGCAUGAAAGGGCAACAAUGGAAAUGAGGUCAAAGUUCUAUUGGCAUAAUUGAAACUCGCAAGGAAAUGAAUGUUAAGAUAAUUCAGGUGUACAUUAACUCGAAAUUGGUGGUGAGUCAAGUCAAUUGUAAAUUAUUGCAUGUGAACAAACAAUAGCCUAUUUAUUAGAAGAAGGUGAUGAACUUCGUGUAAUACUUUGAAAAGACUGAACUAAUCCAAAUCCUGUGCAAACUAAUGAAAUUCGUACGAUUGGAGCAUUGAUGAAGCCACAAUCGAAAUGUGUAAUACCUCGAACCUUACAAUAUAUCUUUGGGUAAUAUGAUUCAUGCAUAUAUGCUAUUUCCAAUGUCAUUUGAAUAUUGCAUCAAUUUUUCUAAUUACCUUCUGCAGAAAAUGGUGCAUUUGAUCAUUGGGGUUUUAAGACCUUGAUAUGGUGUUAGUCCUUUACUCCUCGAUCGAAGUGGUGAAUUUUAAAUUGAGCUAUGGUAGAGAAAUAGAUUAAUUUGUAUAUUGAAGAUUGACUUGCUAAGCAACGAGAAUAUUCAUAAGGCUGGAGUAGUAUCGACAAAGUUGCAAGUUUUCAAUUCGAUUGAUCAAGGUAACCAUAAACUCUAGAUUGGUGAGUGACACAAUUGGUACAUGAGGCAUGAAGUAACAUGAUCACAAUGCAAUAAGAUAAGGUUUAUACGAUGUUAUAAACAUUGAGGUGCGAACCGUUGAAAUUGAUCGAGAAGCGGGGGUCAAUUGGGUAAGUACUGAAUGAAAUGUUAAUGAAUUAGCUCUAUAAAAUAUUUUGGAAUCUUAGGGAAGGUAAGAUGAUUUUAAAGACAUUAAAAUAAGCUAAGUACACUUGAUUUGUAUCUACAAGGAUAGAGGUAAAAUCAGAUUUCCACUACAAGGGACACCUUAUGCUCAAUACACCUCAUGCCUGUCGAUUUGUCCUUGUAAUGGUCAAUUCCUUCACUAUUAGGCAUUAAUCACUUCUAAAACUCUCUUAAAGCUUCAUAUAUUUAGUAUAUUAUCCAUAAGUUUCAUACAAAUCCUUCAUGGAUAUGUACAAAAAAUCGAAAUGCAACUUGAAGACGACACCUCCUGCUUAACAUCUUGUGACCUGUCAUUUUAAUAUCCAAUUCCUUCAACAUUAAGGCUUUAUCACGUUUUUCUAAACACUUAGGAUAAAUAUUCAUCUUCUAGGUCACAUAAGACUCCGUAUGUGAUGAGGGAAAGGUCCAAUUUUGCUGCAUGAAGAUACCUCGUGCUUGAACACCUCAUACUUGGAGACACAUGUUGUUUAAUCACCAAUUUCUUCAUCCUUAAGUAUCAAGCACAACCCCAGACCUUAAGACUCUUUAUAUAGCCCCUAAACAAGACAUUUAACCCCCCCCCCCCCCAAAGUUAUCCUCAAGUGACCCCAAGUGAAAGAGAAGGCAAAGGAAAUAAAGGGAGAUAGAAAACGAAAAGUUGGGACUGUCAAUUUGGGCAGGUGAGUUUAAUUCGCGAUUUUGGAAGAUUUUCUUUAAUUUCUUUGGGUGUUUUAUAGCCUCUUAAACCUCUAGACUUUCUUGAGAUCAUGUGGAAAGUUUGAUGAUUUAAUCAUAACAAAAGAGGAGUAAUUGAUUGCAAGAAUUUGGGUGAAACAACCAAAGAUCGAAAUCGGAUAGUUGCUGGAUUUUACUAGUUUCACAUUCGGUGUUAUAUAAUAGUUUGAAUGGAACACAUAUUUAUCACUUUGAAUAUUUUUAUAUGAUGAAUGAUUCUUAAUGACCUAAAGUCUGAUUUGGUGGCAUGCUAAUACAAUGGAAAUCAAAAAUAGUCAAAGGGAAAUUGUUAGAUUUCGCUUUUCGUAAAAUGGAUUGUCUUUGAAUCUUUAAAUCCUUCACUUGUCGCAACCUUUUCGCAUGAUUACCUUUACAUACAUGUCAUGAAGUGUGGUAAAAAUUUGAGAAUUAAUGGAUAUGGUUAAGGGGGGUAAAAAGGGAUUGGAAAAAUAAGGAAACGGUGAUGAAAACCCGAAAAAUAGAUUCUAUCCAUUUGAAUAUUUGAAUUAGCUUCAAUAUUUACAUCUUCAUUUGUUAUCUCCUAGGCUUGGAAAGUAAAUUUUAAGGAGUCCUAGGUUGUUGAUAACAAUUAGAUGAUGUUGACACACAUAAUUGAACUCUAUAGAAGCACGCACACGAGGGUGAAAGGUAAGUAAAAUCUAUUUACAACUAUGAUGCAAGAACAUAGUAUUCAUGAAAUAUUAUCUAUAGAGUAUUGUUAUAACAUUUAUAUGACAUUGACAAGAAGAUCAUGGCAUACCACAUGAUGGUUAUGAUGAUUGCGCAUGUGGCUCCGAAAACAUAUUGAUUGAGCAUGUCAUUCAUGAGCAUUUGCACGUACAUGCAUGACAUAUGUCUAUCAUUAGAAAGUUAGCAUGCAAGUCAUGAUUGAAAAAAUGAAUUUACUUUAUAAAAUGUUUUAUUGACAACUACGAGGGCAUCGAGGCAUAUCAAAUAUGCUUAUGUGACAUGUUUUGGCAUCGUGGGUAAGACUUUCUAGGUGAUCUCAUGGGCAAAUAGGAGAUGUGCCUUUGGUGAUCACAGGAGGGUGGACCACUUGAUUGUGCCUUUGUGAUAUUAUGAUUAUUGAUACUGCGGGUGGGAUAUUUCUUGGGUGAUCAUAGGGAAGUUGGGGAUGUGCUUCUAGUUAUCACAAAAGGAUGGUCCACUAGACUGUAUCGAUAUAAUAUUGGCUAUUGGAUUAUUGAUCGUUAACAUUUAAAUUGUGCCAGAGCUCUAUCCGGUGCAUAGUAAGUGGGUCAAGGGCUAAAUGAAAUAAAAUGAUUUUGAUAAUGUUGGAAUGUAGAGAAACACCCGACCAAGUUGUGAAAACUAUGGAGAAAGUGAGGGCAGCGGAUGUUGAUGUAAUGACUUUUGGUUAGUACAUGAGGCCUUCGAAGCGCCACAUGCCAAUAUUGAAGCUGAGCAAAUUGAGAAGUGGUAGAGCAGAUCUUCAGGGUAAUCAGCCUGGUGAUCUUUAUUUUAUAAUCAAGGCUACUUGAUUUGUCCCUUCAUCUCCAAUGCCAUUGUUUAUGUGCAAUUUGUAGUUUGGAUAGUUUAUUAUAGUUUUAAGCUUUAUAAAGGAUGCAACAGAAAUUCUUCAAUUCCUACUCCUUUUUAGUUAGGUGGUGGUGUAUCACAUUUUAACAUUCAAAUGUAUUGAUUCAAAAAUUUGUAAUGAAAUUAUCAAUUUUUAUGGAAUUCCAAAAAUUUGUUCACAAAGUGUCAUUUUCAAUUUUGCUAGUCAAUUUACAAAAAUUGUUGUAAAAAAUAAAAAAAUAAAAAUCUACGGUAACGGUCAAAAAACGUUGCAAAAGUCACUUUUUGUAACAUUUAAAAAAGUUAAGAAAAUGGCCUUUGCAACACUUUCUGCAAUGUUUUUUAGAAGUUGCGAAAAGUAACUUUUUGCAACAUUUAACAAGUUACUUUUCACAACGUCUAAAAAUCGUUGCAGAAAGUCACUUUUAGCAUGAAUAUGAUGCAUUUUGGCAUGGUAAUUUAAAGAAAUGGCAUGGUGACAUAUACUCAUAUUACUUAUACUCAUAGCAUGCAUGAUUUUUAAUUAUUGGGUGUUUGCUUAUGUAGUUUUUGCAUUGUAGGUGAGUAUGGAACUUCAUAAAAGGCAUGACUAGCUGUGAAGCUCUUACAAGAUUCUGAAAUUUGUUGUACAUGGAUAACGACCUAUAGAGUUAUCUUGUGGGCUGUUGUUUGGGUCUUAUAAUCUAUUGUAUUAUGUUUGGAGAACGAUGUACAGUAUAUACAACUUUAGAAAUGGCAUGGUAGAUACUUUUGAAAUCCUCAAAAUAAAUAUGUUGAAAUUUCGUUAUAUAGUAUUUAGUCAUUACAUACCUUAUGUACAUUAUAUGUGACCAGGCAAGAAUAUACAGGGGCCUUAUUGUGAAGAUGCUUAUUUCAUGUUAUCAAAAAAAAUGUGUGAAAUAUUGUGUCUAAGUUAAGUCAUCAAUUUCAUUUCUACAUAGGUUAGUGUAUGAUUAUCUAUAUAAAGGGGGUGUGAUCGAGAGUAUCACAUUUAGGAGAUGAUGCAGAACAUACCUUGGCGUGGAAAGCAUUAAACACAUGGAAGCCACAAGUUCUUGAAGCUCUAUGGAAUAUGGAUGACAUAUGAGCUAAAUCAUACCAAGGCAACGGAAAAAACAAUGAAAAGCAAAGAAGAGAAAUUUUCCCUAAUUGCUUUAAAGUCGGUGAUUGAUGAAGACAUUGCAAGUGAAAAUAUGAAUGAUGAAGACUUGAUGACCUAGUUCUUCUUGUAAGAAAUUGGAGGAAUCUUUGCAACAAUCAGUUAUUUCAAAAGAAAGAAGAAAAUGGCGAAGAGAAGAGUGAUAUGAUUGUUUGCUAUAAUUGUGACUAACCCGGUCAAAAGAGAAAAUGAAUGUCCGAACAAAAAUAGAUUUAUAUAUCUAUUAAAAAAAAGGCAAUUCAAGCAAUAUGAGAUGAAAUUGAAGAUGAUGAUGAUGAAGACAAUGAAUGUCACAAGAAAGUUGUCAACAUGUGCUUCAUGACCAUUGAAAAUGAGAUAAAGAUAAAUGACAAUUCUUCAUAUAAUGAUUUAUCUACCUCGUAUGAUGAAAUUUUUGAAGAACUUGAAAAAAUUGCUCUCAAACACUCUAUUCUCAAAAAUAAAAAUUCUUUAUUGGAAAAAUAGAUAAAGAAACUUUUGGGAACUCAAAAUUAUUUAAAAAAAGAAAACGUAAAUUACGAUUUUUUUAAUUAAGGAGAAUUCCCCUUUACAAGAAAAGAUUUUAGAACUGAUUCAAAUUAUUCACAAAUUUACCUAGGACAAGAAAAUUUUUGAUUUAACGCUUGGUGAACAAAAAUGUGUUUUUGGUAAAUGAUGAAUUUGAUACAAACCAUCUUUAAAAUAAAAGUCUCUUAAAGAAUUUAUUUGUUAAAGCCUCUACUCCCCCUAUUACAAAUGUUAUAUGGGGAUUUUGCGAUAAAAAUGGACUUGUAUCUUUUAAUUGCACAAUCAAAAAGACAUUGCACUUAAAAGCAAACACAAGUGAAUUCAAAAGUUCACAAAUACUAACAACCAUGGACCCAAAGUUGUAUGGGUACCAAGGAACAAAAAUUGAAUUAUUUUUGUAGGUACUAAAGAAAAUAAAGAGUAAAUAGUUCUUGAAUUGGAUGCUCGAAGCAUAUGAUCAAAAAUCAAACUUUGUUAUCAAGCUUCAAAAAGAUGGAUGGUGGUGUUAGUUUUGUUGAUAAUAUCAAAAGAAAAAAAUCAUUGGCAUUGAAGAUAUUGGUAAUUAUUCAUUUCCCUCUAUUGAAAGUGUUCUUAUAAGCUGAUAAUCUCAAACAUACUUAUUUUGCAUUUGCAUGAAAAAUUGUUUUCAUAUCAAAUUUGAUUAUUCUAAAUACUUUAUUGAGGAUGCUACAUCAAAAGAGAUAAUAGGAAGCCGAAAUAAAGAUUUUUAUGUCAUAAACAUUGAAUUUGGAAGUGAAGAAAAAUGUUUAUCAAGUUUAAAAGAUAAUACUUGGUUGUGGGGAGAAUAAAAAAAAUAAAAAGAUUUGGUCAUGUUUGCAUGGUCCUACUUUCAAAUAUUUCAAAAAUUGAUUUGUUAAUGGUUUGGCAAAUUUGGAAAAAGAAAAUGUGAUGAAUGUCAUUUUGGAAGACUAGUGAAGAGCUCUUUCAAAUAAAAGUAAUAUUCUUGUACUACAUGAUCGUUAUAACUUUUCCAUAUGAAUCAUUUUGGACCAUCUAGAGCCGCAAGUUUAAGUGGUAAACAAAAUGCUUUUGUCAAUAGUGAAGACUUUUUUAAAAUUUACUUGAGUCCUACUUUUGAAUUUAAAGGAUAAAGGUUUGAAUGCAUUGAAACAUUUUUAAAAUGUUCAUAAAUGGAAAGGGGUAUACUAUUAGUACAAUUUGGAGUGAUCUUGUGGAGAAUCUUCACAAUAUUGCUUUUUCUGAUUUUUGCAAAACUUAUGGUCGUGAACAUUAUUUAUUAGCUUCUAGAACUCCUCAACGAAAUGUUGUAGUAAAAGAAGAAUCAUACAUUCCAAAAAUGGCUUAGACUAUACUAAAUGAAAAUAGUUUACCAAAAUAAUUUUGGGUCGAAGCCAUUAACACCCUUGCUAUAUUAUGAAUAUAGUCUUGGUUAAUCGAAAGAAAACCGAAACUCCAUAUGAACUUUAAAAAUUGGAGUUCUCUAUAUCGAUUACUUUAAAGUGUUUGGUUGUAAAUGUUUUAUCUUGAACAUUAAAGAAAUUUGAGAAAAUUUGGUUCAAAAUUUAAUAUUGGAAGCCUUCUUAGAUAUUCAUUGACUAGUAAAGCUUAUAGAAUUUUCUCUAUAACAAGAGAAUUUUAGUCAUUUAAAAAAUCCUUGCAUGCAAAAUUUGAUGAAACUAAUACUCUUGAUCAAGAGAAAGGUAUUGUUAAUGAUGUAGGUUUGAAUAUUCCUUUGAUCAAAUGAAUAUUCAAAAUCAAAAUAAAGAAGGUUCUAAAAAUGUUAAAAAUUAACAUGAGGAAAAAGCAAAUAUGCAACAAGAUGAAGAAGAAUCUUCCAAAGUACAAAGUUAUCAAUCUUUACCUAAGGAAUAGAUUCAAACAAAAUACAUCGUGGACAUGCUCAAUGAAUUUAAAAUGAAAGAGUUAAAAUCAAUGAACACUCCAAUGAACUCACCAAUCAAAUACUCAAAAAUUAAAUCUUAGUGCCAUAAAACAAAUUUUUAGAUAUAUUAGUGGCAGUAUAACAUUAGGUUCUUGGUAUCGAAAGAAAACCCAUAUUGAUUUACUUAGCUAAAUGAGAAAAAAUUCAAUUGACCAUUAUUCCCAGUAAACCUCUAGCAAUUGACAGACUUCAUAUACUUUGUAGCAAGAUCAAAUAUUAGAUUUCUUAUAUCACUAGUAAAGGUAUUAAUACAUUGAUAUUUGGCAAUAAAUGUUUAAGCUCAAAAUAUUCCUAUGCAUUAAAAGUUAUUUUGGUACAAUGUUUUGAUCAAAUAUAAAAGUGGUUUUAAAAUUAUAUUUGAACUUCAAAAAUAUCUUUUAUAUUGAAAAAUUAGUCAAAAAUAUUUUCCAAAAAACUACGCCUUUCAAAACCAUUGCAUAAGAUCAAACGGGACCAAAACGUAAAAAGAUCAAAACUGCCCAUUGGUUGAUCGGUCGUACGAGGCCAAGAGAGGCGGUCGACCAAAAAAGGAUCCAAAAUUUGACCCUUUUGCCUUAGAUUUUCACUAUAUAAACAGUUAUAUUGGCCAUCUGCAAAAAGGCAGUCGAUCGGAGAUGUCAUCCAAACAUACAAUUUUUUUAUUUUUUAUGGCGAUUUGAAUCUCUAUAAAUAUACUCACACUUUCCUUUUAAUCACAAGACUUUCAAGAGCAUCAAAGUGAAAUAAUUUUUGAGAAAAUUCAUUGAGCUUUCCUUUGCAUUCAUUUCAUGUAUUUCUAAAUAUCAAAAACUUUGAUUGAUUCAAACUCUUUAAUCAUCAUCAUCAUCGAACUCAUUCAUCUCUCUUUUUGUACUUAGCCCCCAUUUGGUCCCCAUUUUGUGGUAAUGAAAAUGGGUGGAAUAAUGUUUUUUUGAAAAAUGAGUGGUUGAAAAAGAAGGAAAAGUUUUCGAUUUACGUGUAAUAUUGUUUUAUGGAAGACUAUGUGGUUGAAAAUAGGAGAGAGAAAAAUGAAAUGGAAUGAAAAUUAAUGGGGGCCAAACUGGAGCUUAAUUUAUUUCUAUUAUUCAAAAAAGAUAGAUGUAUUUCGAAGAAUAUUUUUGAACUAACUCUUCUACAUCUUCAUACUGAAAACUUUAAUCGAUUGAAUCAAAUUUGUAAAAUCAUCUUACUCAUCAAUGUUUUUCAUUUCUUUGUUGGUGCUUAAUUUAUUAUGAUCAUUCAUUAAAAAGAGAGACAUAUCUUGAGAAGAUUUUUAAAUGUACAUUACAUUUAUUCCUCUUUCAUCUUCUUAUUGAAAAAUUUUAAUUGAUUGAAUCAAAUUUUUAAUUAUUAUAUGCAUCAAAGUUUUUCAUCUAACACUUGAGCUAGCCUUUAUUAUUUUUUAUUGAAGUGUUAGUCUCUUUUAAUACUUACUUCAUUUGUAUAAUUUAUUAACAGAGAAUUUCAUUAUAAAAUCAUUGCUUUAAGCUUGUAGGUCGUAUUGAGGUCUGGUGAAAGCUUCUAGUAUAAGGAUCAGUGCUCCUUGUUGUAAGUUAAUGUGUGGACCGUAUUGAGGUCAUGUAAAAGCUCAAUAGUAUGAGUCAUAUUGAGAUUCAAUAAAGUUAAUAUUGUAUAAGGAUGGAUACUCUUUGUUUGUAAGUCAUCGGAAACAUUUUUUAAAGGAUUGGAUUGCACCACAAGUCAAUCAAUAUAGUGAAAAGACAUUGCUCGUGCCAGAUAGCUUGAUAACAGAGGACAUAAAUCAUUUCUUUUCAUCAAACCUCCAUAAUUAUAUCGUUUGCCUCCUUUCUACCCUUUUGCUUAUUGUUAUAAAUUUAUUAUUUGAUUAAUCUACUUACUUUUAUUUGCUUAUCAUUAAUUGAUCAAUAUAUCCUUUGCUUGCUUGAUUUAAAUUUAUUUUUCGAAAAGUUUUAAAAAUUAACCCACCACCCUCUUUGUUAAUUAUUCUUAGGCUAUCAGUAAAGAUGAGGAUGGUUCUCGCUCAGAUGGACUUAGAUGAUACUGUGUUAGGGUUUGAUGAGAUGCCAUCAACUUGAAUGCACGAGGAGAAACAACGUAAGGACUGAAAGACAAUCUACCAAAUCAAAUUCUUUCAGAAGUUUCCAAGGAGAAAAAUAUUGUUACAUUAUGCUUAAAGUUACAACAGUUAUGCAUGAUGAAGCGCCUAUCUGAAGCAGCGAUUGUAUUCUGAUCGUAUGACAAAAGUACAUCUAUAAAAGACCGCUUAAUUGUCUUUAAAGAAAUAUCAUUGAUCCGGAGAACAUGGAGGUUAAGUACGAUGAAGAAGAAGAAGAUUUAUGAUUGAUUUCAUUGCCUUCUUAUGUCUUUUAGAGACACUAUUUUGUACAGUCUUGAUACUCUCGCUAUAGAUGAUGUAUAUGAUGCUCAGUUUUUUAAAGGAAAGAUGAAGCAACUUGUGUUUAGAUUUGAGACUUAGGCAGAGAGCGUUGUUGCUCAUGGUGGUUAUGUGAGCAUGUCGAAGUCUAAUAUAGCGAUAAAAUAUGUAAUUAUUGCAAGAAAAAUGAGCACAUCAAAUUUGACUGCUAUAAGUUGUAAAAUAAAGAUAAAAGAGCAACUACAAAUCCAAAAAUAAAAAAAUAAAAAAAAUAUAUGAAGCUAGUAUUGCAGAAGAUGCUUCAGUGAUGGAGAACUUCUAGUUAUUUUAUACAUUGACUCCAAACAUUGCGAGGAUUUGAUUCUUGAUAUAGCUUACACGUUUCAUAUGCUCCCAAUUGGUAUUGGUUUUCAACAUAUGAAACAAUUUCGAAAGGUACUAUAAUAAUGAAAAAUAACGUACCUUGAAAGACAGUUAGUAUUGGAACGAUUAGAGUUAAGAUGUUUGACGGGACUGUCAGAAUACUUGGUGAUGUAAAACAUGUUAUAGAUUUGAAAAUAAAUCAUAUCUCAUUGAGUGCUCUUGAUUCAAAAUGGUACAAUUAUGCUGUGAAGAUGGAGUCCAGAAGUUUAGUAAAGUUGCCUAUAUUGUAAAGAAGGGACAGAGAAGGUCUAUAUAGUCAUGACAGGACUAAUAUUUGAUUAAUCAAACAAAGUCAAAUGUACAAUUGACUAACAACAUAAUAAUGGCUCAAUCGGCUAACAUAAUGUGUGGAGCUAGAUCUCUCCAAAUUUUCUUUCUCCAUUUUGAAUAAAAAAAAAUUGGUGAAAUGUUGAGUUUCUUUUCAUGGUUAGAUUUGCCUGAGAUUAUCACCCCAUCUCCAAGAAUUGUUCAACUUUUCGUCAAAUAUCUUCAAAAACUGUUCAACUUUUUGUCAAAUAGUCACAUGAAAUAAUGAAAAGUUAUUAUGUACUUCUCAAGUGACUAUUUGAUGAAAAGUUUGAAUGAUUUCCUUCAAUUUACCCGUACAUGAAUCAAAAACGAUGAUUUGGCGACUUAAAUGUAACAAAAAUAAAUGGGGACCCAAGUGAAACAUAUGAUAAUCUAUAGGGAUCGUGGGAAAGAAUUUCCCUAUUAAAAUCUGAUUAAAAUUUUCGUAUUAUUACUUAUUUGGUUAUGCAUAGGUGAAUUGAGAAAACACAGGACAAUCUGGACCGACUUGCAUCAAACAAAAUCCAACACGAGAAACAUCAAACAUGAGACAGUACUAAUAGCAUUAUUACACAGACUAUAUCCCAUGUUUUAUUGCUACUUUGACACUACUCACGAGCAACAACCACCACCUGCUUCCCAACAUUGCGACCGGAGAAAAGCCCUACAAGAGCAGCUGGUGCGCUUUCCAGGCCUUCGGCUACAUCUUCUACAUAAGUUAUCUUCCCUUCUUUUAUCAGUGGAAGCACCAUCUCCAAAAAUUUUGGAUAGAGGUGGUAGUAAUCAAAAACAAGAAAUCCUUCCAUACGAAUACGUUUAGUUAUAGUGCAGAAUAAGUUGUGUACACCUUCUGGCUGCUCAAGAUUGUACUGUGAGAUCAAUCCACAAACAGCUAUACGACCCUUGAUUUUCAUGUUGAGAAGCACGGCAUCAAGCAUUUUUCCUCCGACAUUCUCAAAGUAAAUAUCGAUUCCAUUAGGGAAAUACCUAUCAGAAUAACAAACUGUACUAUGAAUUUUGUAAAGUGAAGAAAAGCAACCAAGCAAGCAUUUUAAAUAUUUGC
Molecule: long non-coding RNA, 41610 nt
Filed under: Olea europaea (common olive)
Lineage: Eukaryota; Viridiplantae; Streptophyta; Magnoliopsida; Lamiales; Oleaceae
Description: long non-coding RNA (OEUR_LNC004987)
Source: RNAcentral